GAUGAACGCUGGCGGCGUGCUUAACACAUGCAAGUCGAACGAAACACCUUAUUUGAUUUUCUUCGGAACUGAAGAUUUGGUGAUUGAGUGGCGGACGGGUGAGUAACGCGUGGGUAACCUGCCCUGUACAGGGGGAUAACAGUCAGAAAUGACUGCUAAUACCGCAUAAGACCACAGCACCGCAUGGUGCAGGGGUAAAAACUCCGGUGGUACAGGAUGGACCCGCGUCUGAUUAGCUGGUUGGUGAGGUAACGGCUCACCAAGGCGACGAUCAGUAGCCGGCUUGAGGGGGGGAACGGCCACAUUGGGACUGAGGCACGGCCCAAUCUCCUACGGGAGGCAGCAGUGGGGAAUAUUGCACAAUGGGGGAAACCCUGAUGCAGCGACGCCGCGUGAGUGAAGAAGUAUUUCGGUAUGUAAAGCUCUAUCAGCAGGGAAGAAAAUGACGGUACCUGACUAAGAAGCCCCGGCUAACUACGUG
Molecule: ribosomal RNA, 481 nt
Filed under: uncultured bacterium
Lineage: Bacteria
Description: partial 16S ribosomal RNA
Rfam family: Bacterial small subunit ribosomal RNA
Source: RNAcentral